GGAAUAUUGGACAAUGGGCGCAAGCCUGAUCCAGCCAUGCCGCGUGUGUGAAGAAGGCCUUCGGGUUGUAAAGCACUUUAAGUGGGGAGAAAGGCCCGUUGGUUAAUAGCCAACGGGAUUGAUGUUACUCACAGAAUAAGCACCGGCUAACUCCGUGCCAGCAGCCGCGGUAAUACGGAGGGUGCGAGCGUUAAUCGGAAUUACUGGGCGUAAAGCGCGCGUAGGCGGUUUGUUAAGUCAGCUGUGAAAGCCCCGGGCUCAACCUGGGGACUGCAGUUGAUACUGUCCGACUAGAGUACGAGAGAGGGAGGUAGAAUUCCAUGUGUAGCGGUGAAAUGCGUAGAUAUAUGGAGGAAUACCAGUGGCGAAGGCGGCCUCCUGGCUCGAUACUGACGCUGAGGUGCGAAAGCGUGGGGAUCAAA
Molecule: ribosomal RNA, 422 nt
Filed under: uncultured bacterium
Lineage: Bacteria
Description: bacterial SSU rRNA
Rfam family: Bacterial small subunit ribosomal RNA
Source: RNAcentral